Molecule: ribosomal RNA, 421 nt
Filed under: uncultured bacterium
Lineage: Bacteria
Description: partial 16S ribosomal RNA
Rfam family: Bacterial small subunit ribosomal RNA
Source: RNAcentral
AAUAUUGGACAAUGGGGGCAACCCUGAUCUAGUCAGGCCGUGUGUGUGAAGAAGGACUACGGUUUGCAAAGAAUUUUAAGUUGGGAGGUAGGGCUCUAGGUUAAUACCCUGAAGUUUUGACGUUACCCUCAGUAUAAGCACCGGCUAACACUGUGCCAGAAGCCGCGGUAAUACAGAGGGUGCAAGCGUUAAUCGGAAUUACUGGGCAUAAAGCGCUCGUAGGUUGUUCAGUAAGAUGGGUGUGAAAUCCCCGGGCUUAACCUGGGAACUGCUUUCAUAACUGCUGAGCUAGAGUACAGUAGAGGGUAGUAGAAUUUCCUGUGUAGCUGUAAAAUGCGUAGAUAUAGGAAGGAACACCAGUGGCGAAGGCGACUACCUGGACUGAUACUGACACUGAGGUGCGAAAGCGUGGGGAGCAAAC